Molecule: ribosomal RNA, 504 nt
Filed under: uncultured bacterium
Lineage: Bacteria
Description: partial 16S ribosomal RNA
Rfam family: Bacterial small subunit ribosomal RNA
Source: RNAcentral
AUUGAACGCUGGCGGUAGGCCUAACACAUGCAAGUCGAACGGUAGCACAGAGAGCUUGCUCUCGGGUGACGAGUGGCGGACGGGUGAGUAAUGUCUGGGAAACUGCCCGAUGGAGGGGGAUAACUACUGGAAACGGUAGCUAAUACCGCAUAACGUCGCAAGACCAAGGUGGGGGACCUUCGGGCCUCACACCAUCGGAUGUGCCCAGAUGGUAUUAGCUAGUAGGUGGGGUAAUGGCUCACCUAGGCGACGAUCCCUAGCUGGUCUGAGAGGAUGACCAGCCACACUGGAACUGAGACACGGUCCAGACUCCUACGGGAGGCAGCAGUGGGGAAUAUUGCACAAUGGGCGCAAGCCUGAUGCAGCCAUGCCGGGUGUAUGAAGAAGGCCUUCGGGUUGUAAAGUACUUUCAGCGGGGAGGAAGGCGGUGAAGUUAAUAGCUUCACCGAUUGACGUUACCCGCAGAAGAAGCACCGGCUAACUCCGUGCCAGCCGCCGCGGUAA